RNAcentral lists this ribosomal RNA (334 nucleotides) under uncultured Phyllobacterium sp. RNAcentral describes it as "bacterial SSU rRNA". It matches the Rfam family "Bacterial small subunit ribosomal RNA", at positions 337 to 688 of the family's 1533-position model. Lineage: Bacteria; Pseudomonadati; Pseudomonadota; Alphaproteobacteria; Hyphomicrobiales; Phyllobacteriaceae. The record is from RNAcentral.
UCCUACGGGAGGCAGCAGUGGGGAAUAUUGGACAAUGGGCGCAAGCCUGAUCCAGCCAUGCCGCGUGAGUGAUGAAGGUUUUAGGAUUGUAAAGCUCUUUCACCGGUGAAGAUAAUGACGGUAACCGGAGAUGAAGCCCCGGCUAAAUUUGUGCCAGCAGCCGCGGUAAUACGAAGGGGGCUAGCGUUGUUCGGAUUUAAUGGGCGUAAAGCGCACGUAGUCGGACUUUUAAGUCAGGGAAGAAAUCCCGGGGCUCAACCCAGGAACUACAAAUGAUACUGGAAGUCUUGAAUUCGAGAGAGGAGAGAGGAAAUGAGAGUGUAGGGGUGGAAUU